This 253-nucleotide ribosomal RNA is filed under the name uncultured bacterium. Its description in RNAcentral is "partial 16S ribosomal RNA". It matches the Rfam family "Bacterial small subunit ribosomal RNA", at positions 524 to 776 of the family's 1533-position model. The record is from RNAcentral.
UACGUAGGAUCCAAGCGUUGUCCGGAUUUACUGGGUGUAAAGGGUGCGCAGGCGGUCUUGUAAGUCAGGGGUGAAAUCUCACAGCUCAUCUGUGAAACUGCCUUUGAUACUGCAAGUCUUGGAUCCAGAAGAGAGUUGUGGAAUUCCGAGUGUAGCAGUGAAAUGUGUAGAUAUUCGGAAGAACACCAGUGGCGAAGGCAGCAACUUGGUCUGGUAUCGACGCUCAGGCACGAAAGCAUGGGGAUCAAACAGG